Molecule: long non-coding RNA, 227 nt
Filed under: Elaeis guineensis (African oil palm)
Lineage: Eukaryota; Viridiplantae; Streptophyta; Magnoliopsida; Arecales; Arecaceae
Description: long non-coding RNA (EGUI_LNC020907)
Source: RNAcentral
GGGUAUUCCUCUUCUCAAAGAGGGCUUCAUCUAAUCUCUUGGGAGACUCUUUGUUCUGCUAAGGAUGCUGGAGGUUUGGGAUUUCUUUCACUUCGUCAUAAGCAAGCGCUCCUUCUGAAAAAUUGGUAGCUAAACCAGUGUUAUAGCCUUUUUCUCUCUGGGCUCAGUUGGUAUCUUCUAAAUAUAAAUUUUAUCAUUCUUGGAUCUCUUAUCACCCGCCUGCUCAU